This 465-nucleotide ribosomal RNA is filed under the name Vreelandella stevensii. Its description in RNAcentral is "partial 16S ribosomal RNA". It matches the Rfam family "Bacterial small subunit ribosomal RNA", at positions 338 to 795 of the family's 1533-position model. Lineage: Bacteria; Pseudomonadati; Pseudomonadota; Gammaproteobacteria; Oceanospirillales; Halomonadaceae. The record is from RNAcentral.
CCUACGGGUGACAGCAGUGGGGAAUAUUGGACAAUGGGGGGAACCCUGAUCCAGCCAUGCCGCGUGUGUGAAGAAGGCCCUCGGGUUGUAAAGCACUUUCAGUGAGGAAGAACGCCUGGUGGUUAAUACCCAUCAGGAAAGACAUCACUCACAGAAGAAGCACUGGCUAACUCCGUGCCAGCAGCCGCGGUAAUACGGAGGGUGCGAGCGUUAAUCGGAAUUACUGGGCGUAAAGCGCGCGUAGGUGGCUUGAUAAGCCGGUUGUGAAAGCCCCGGGCUCAACCUGGGAACGGCAUCCGGAACUGUCAAGCUAGAGUGCAGGAGAGGAAGGUAGAAUUCCCGGUGUAGCGGUGAAAUGCGUAGAGAUCGGGAGGAAUACCAGUGGCGAAGGCGGCCUUCUGGACUGACACUGACACUGAGGUGCGAAAGCGUGGGUAGCAAACAGGAUUAGAUACCCGAGUAGUC